UAACAAGGAUUCCCCUAGUAACUGCGAGUGAAGCGGGAAGAGCUCAAAUUUAAAAUCUGGCGGUCUCUGGUCGUCCGAGUUGUAACCUGAAGGGGCGUUUUCCGCGCCGGACCGUGUACAAGUCUCCUGGAACGGAGCGUCAUAGAGGGUGAGAAUCCCGUCCAUGACACGGACGCCCGGUGCUUUGUGAUACGCUCUCGAAGAGUCGCGUUGUUUGGGAAUGCAGCGCAAAAUGGGUGGUAAAUUCCAUCUAAAGCUAAAUAUUGGCGAGAGACCGAUAGCGAACAAGUACCGUGAGGGAAAGAUGAAAAGCACUUUGGAAAGAGAGUUAAACAGUACGUGAAAUUGUUGAAAGGGAAACGCUUGAAGUCAGUCGCGUCUUGUGGAACUCAGCCUGGCUUCGACCUGGUGUACUUUUCACUCGACGGGUCAACAUCAAUUUUGACCGGUGGACAAGGGCGGGGGGAAUGUAGCGUUGUUUCGACGACGUGUUAUAGCCCCUCGUCGCAUACACCGAUCGGGAUUGAGGACCGCAGCGCGCCCUUGUGGCCGGGGGUUCGCCCCACGUACCGCGCUUAGGAUGUUGGCAUAAUGGCUUUAAGCGACCCGUCUUGAAACACGGACCAAGGAGUCUACAUGCUUGCGAGUGUUCGGGUGGAAAACCCUUGCGCGUAAUGAAAGUGAAAGUUGGGAGCCUCCGCGAGGGGGUGCACCGACGCCCGGCCCUGACGUUCUCUGACGGUGCUGCGGUAGAGCAAGUAUGUUGGGACCCGAAAGAUGGUGAACUAUGCCUGAAUAGGGCGAAGCCAGAGGAAACUCUGGUGGAGGCUCGUAGCGAUUCUGACGUGCAAAUCGAUCGUCAAAUUUGGG
Molecule: ribosomal RNA, 870 nt
Filed under: Fomitiporella sp. AM 04
Lineage: Eukaryota; Fungi; Basidiomycota; Agaricomycetes; Hymenochaetales; Hymenochaetaceae
Description: eukaryotic LSU rRNA
Rfam family: Eukaryotic large subunit ribosomal RNA
Source: RNAcentral